RNAcentral lists this ribosomal RNA (253 nucleotides) under uncultured bacterium. Its description in RNAcentral is "partial 16S ribosomal RNA". It matches the Rfam family "Bacterial small subunit ribosomal RNA", at positions 524 to 776 of the family's 1533-position model. The record is from RNAcentral.
UACGUAGGUGGCAAGCGUGAUCCGGAUUUACUGGGUGUAAAGGGCGUGUAGGCGGGGAAGCAAGUCAGAUGUGAAAACCACGGGCUCAACCUGUGGCCUGCAUUUGAAACUGUUUUUCUUGAGUGCUGGAGAGGCAAUCGGAAUUCCGUGUGUAGCGGUGAAAUGCGUAGAUAUACGGAGGAACACCAGUGGCGAAGGCGGAUUGCUGGACAGUAACUGACGCUGAGGCGCGAAAGCGUGGGGAGCAAACAGG